UAACAAAAACAUGGUUUUUUGAUAAUAAUUUAAAAUUGGUUCUGCUCACUGAAUAUAUUAUAUAAUUUAAAGAGCUGCAGUAUCCUAACUGUGCAAAGGUAGCAUAAUAAUUUGUUUUUUAAUUGUAAACUUGGAUGAAAGAGCUGAUGAGAUAUAAACUGUCUCUUAAUAAAUUAUAGAAAUUGAAAUUUAAGUUAAAAUUCUUAAAUGUAAUUAUUAGACGAGAAGACCCUAUAGAAUUUUAUAUAUUUUAUUUAUUUACCAAUAGGGGAUUUUGUUAUUUAAAAAGUAAAAUAAAUAAAAUUUAUUUAAUUGGGAGGAUUAUUAAAUUUAAUAAACUUUAAAAUUAAAAAUUAACAAUAAUUUUUGGAAGAUUGAUUAGUAAAUAAUUAAAAGAUUAAAUUACCUUAGGGAUAACAGCGUAAUAUUUUUGGAGAGAUCAUAUUAAUAAAAAUGUUUGCGACCUCGAUGUUGAAUUAAGAUAAAAAUUAAAUGCAGAAGUUUAAUAUUUAAGUCUGUUCGACUUUUAAAAUCUUACGUGAUCUGAGUUC
RNAcentral lists this ribosomal RNA (551 nucleotides) under Neozeleboria monticola. RNAcentral describes it as "partial 16S ribosomal RNA". The stretch from base 413 to 551 matches the Rfam family "Bacterial large subunit ribosomal RNA", at positions 2473 to 2612 of the family's 2925-position model. Lineage: Eukaryota; Metazoa; Arthropoda; Insecta; Hymenoptera; Thynnidae. The record is from RNAcentral.